RNAcentral lists this ribosomal RNA (230 nucleotides) under uncultured bacterium. Its description in RNAcentral is "partial 16S ribosomal RNA". It matches the Rfam family "Bacterial small subunit ribosomal RNA", at positions 562 to 791 of the family's 1533-position model. The record is from RNAcentral.
AAAGGGUCCGUAGGCGGUUUGAUAAGUCAGUGGUGAAAGCCCAUCGCUCAACGAUGGAACGGCCAUUGAUACUGUCAGACUUGAAUUACUAGGAAGUAACUAGAAUAUGUAGUGUAGCGGUGAAAUGCUUAGAUAUUACAUGGAAUACCAAUUGCGAAGGCAGGUUACUACUAGUGGAUUGACGCUGAUGGACGAAAGCGUGGGGAGCGAACAGGAUUAGAUACCCUAGU